CACACAGGAGGUUUAUCUCUGAGAAGAAGUGGGUGUAGCCUAGAAGAUGAGAGUGUUGCAUUUUUUCUAUCUAGUGACAGUCAUUCCUGGUAUCCUGUCUCAGAUGCAGCUACAAGAAUCAGGACCUGGCCUGGUGAAACCCACCCAGUCACUCUUCCUCACCUGCUCUGUCACUGGUUUUUCCAUCACCAGUGGUUAUUACUGGAUCUGGAUCCGGCAGUCACAUGGGAAACACCUAGAAUGGAUGGGGUACAUGACUUACAGCGGGGAAACUUUCUACAACCCAUCCCUCAAGAGCCCAAUCUCCAUUACUAGAGAAACAUCCAAGAACCAGUUUUUCCUGCAAUUGAACUCUGUGACCACAGAGGACACAGCCAUGUAUUACUGUGCAGGAGACACAUGUGAAGUGCAGCUGCUGGAAACUUGGGGAGACCUAGUGCAGCCUGGAAAUUCUCCAAAACUCUACUGUGCCACCCAAGGAUUCACUUUAAGUAACCAGUGGAUGAACUGGGUCUGCCAGCCUUCAAGGAAGGGGCUCAAGUGGGUUGCUCAAAUUCAUCUUGAAUCUAAUAAUUAUUAA
This is a non-coding RNA of Rattus norvegicus (Norway rat), 580 nucleotides long. The record is from the annotation of a RefSeq genome assembly. NCBI's taxonomy places the organism in Eukaryota, Metazoa, Chordata, Mammalia, Rodentia, Muridae.